This 751-nucleotide small RNA is filed under the name Caenorhabditis elegans. RNAcentral describes it as "Unclassified non-coding RNA Y69H2.33". Lineage: Eukaryota; Metazoa; Nematoda; Chromadorea; Rhabditida; Rhabditidae. The record is from RNAcentral.
AGAUCCUUCUACUCAUACGACGUGGACACCGACAAGUGCAUAAAUCCAGAAGCUUCUGUGCUCUACAAAGAGCACCGUGACAAAUUUCGAGAAAUCGCCAAAGAAUGUGUGGAGGCGAGCCGCUCGAUGGUUUAUGAUGAGCUCGCCGAGCAGGAGCACGACCCUAAUGGAAUACGGUAAGAGAUUUAGUGAGAAAAUUCGAAAUUUUUACAGAAAGUAUUGCGAAAUACCUGGAAAAUCUGAAAUUUCAGAAGUUUAAGCAGAAAAUUUCAGAUUUUCAAUUAAAUUUUUGAAUUCAGCAGCAAUUUUCACCCCUAACUCGUGUUUUUCACUGCUCAAAUCUCAAAAUUUAAAGUUUUAGUGUUUGCACAGAAUUGGGGCUACCGUAAUGCCUAAAUUUUUCCAAAAAUUUCAAAUUAAGCCAAAUCUUACAAAAAACCGCUCCCAGUGGUAAUUUUACGUGCUGAAACCGAAUUUUCAUAUAAAAAAAUUCAGAAAAACUAAAAAUUUUCCAGACUCCUGCCCUGGGACGCCCUUACGCAUAAGGCGGCUCGCGAGAAAAUGCUCCAAAUCGGUGAUAACUCGAGAUUUCAAGGCACCGCUGCAGAUUUUCGUCGGGAACAUAUUUUUAGUAAGAUGGGCUUGCAAGUGUCUGAAAUUGUCGGGAAAAGCUAUCCGAACAGCUAUUCCUGGUUUGACCCGGCCGAGAUGACUGUGAUCACCAAGUAUGAUGACGUGGAUUUGAGUCAGG